AUGAACGCUGGCGGCGUGCUUAACACAUGCAAGUCGAACGGGAUCCAAGGGGUGCUUGCACUUUUUGGUGCGAGUGGCGAACGGGUGAGUAACACGUGAGUAACCUGUCCUUUUCUUUGGGAUAAGCAUUCGAAAGGGUGUUUAAUACCUUAUGUUCUGUCUGCCUCGCAUGGGGUGGGUGGGAAAGGCUUUGGCCGGAUUUGGGUGGGCUCGCGGUCUAUCAGCUUGUUGGUGGGGUGAUGGCUUACCAAGGCUUUGACGGGUAGCCGGCCUGAGAGGGUGGUCGGUCACAUUGGGACUGAGAUACGGCCCAGACUCCUGCGGGAGGCAGCAGUGGGGGAUAUUGCACAAUGGGCGAAAGCCUGAUGCAGCGACGCCGCGUGGGGGAUGAAGGCCUUCGGGUUGUAAACUUCUUUUGCUCUGAACAAGGCAUGCCAGUGGGUGUGUUGAGUGUAGGGGUUGAUUAGCGCCGGCUAACUACGUG
This 484-nucleotide ribosomal RNA is filed under the name uncultured bacterium. Its description in RNAcentral is "partial 16S ribosomal RNA". It matches the Rfam family "Bacterial small subunit ribosomal RNA", at positions 29 to 507 of the family's 1533-position model. The record is from RNAcentral.